GACGAACGCUGGCGGCGUGCCUAAUACAUGCAAGUAGAACGCUGAAGGAGGAGCUUGCUUCUCCGGAUGAGUUGCGAACGGGUGAGUAACGCGUAGGUAACCUGCCUGGUAGCGGGGGAUAACUAUUGGAAACGAUAGCUAAUACCGCAUAACAGUAGAUAUUGCAUGAUAUCUGCUUGAAAGGUGCAAUUGCAUCACUACCAGAUGGACCUGCGUUGUAUUAGCUAGUUGGUGAGGUAACGGCUCACCAAGGCGACGAUACAUAGCCGACCUGAGAGGGUGAUCGGCCACACUGGGACUGAGACACGGCCCAGACUCCUACGGGAGGCAGCAGUAGGGAAUCUUCGGCAAUGGACGGAAGUCUGACCGAGCAACGCCGCGUGAGUGAAGAAGGUUUUCGGAUCGUAAAGCUCUGUUGUAAGAGAAGAACGAGUGUGAGAGUGGAAAGUUCACACUGUGACGGUAUCUUACCAGAAAGGGACGGCUAACUACAUG
Molecule: ribosomal RNA, 495 nt
Filed under: uncultured bacterium
Lineage: Bacteria
Description: partial 16S ribosomal RNA
Rfam family: Bacterial small subunit ribosomal RNA
Source: RNAcentral